CGUUUUUUUAAACCCUAAAAAUCGUUUUCUUCUGCAUCCUCCUUCUGCUUAAAGCCUCCAUAAUCAAAUUGAUAUCAGUCACUAAAGAUCUUACUAUCUAGGAGCCUCCAAAGCGCUUCAAUCGACCAAGGAUAUGAUCUCUUAAACAUAUAAUUAUGCUGAUGGAAGAAUGAGAGGCUGCAAAGAGAUAUUAAAAACACAAAUCUUUUUGGAUAUGACUGGACCGAGGAUAUAAGACAGCAUAUAUAAGAUGGCUUUUUGAUGUUGCUUUUAUAUUUUCAUAUUGGUUAUCUUGGCUUUUUAAGAACAUACUUUUGCUAAAGUUAGAGGAAGAACCCUACAUUCUAAAUCUGUUCAUCCGCUAAUUCUUUCACAACGAUUCUUCAAUCGGCUUCACAGGUAUGUUUUUUGUGUUUCCCUCUUUUUAUCAUGUUUUUAAACUACAAUCAUUUAAUUUUGUAUUUGUUGUUUCUUGAAUCAUGUACAUAUUCAAAACUCUAAAUUGAUUGUUCUUUUGAAGAUCGCCCCUUUGUUUAAUCGAUUUUAGAUUUCAGCAAGCACAUUUUCAUCCCUAAAUUAAUCAUAUACAUUAGACUUUAUUUUGUAAGCAUCUGAAAUAUGAAUUGUUUUCUGGCUUAAUCGAUUAUGGGUUAGUGGGUGUUCGGAUAGAAUUGAUGAAACUUUAAGGAUUAUAAAAGAUUCAUGUGGAUUAGAAUAUUGAAACUUUUUUAGCUGCAGCUUCAAAUAUAUGAUGCUUUUUUGAACAGUGAGAUUGUUCUUUCAGCAUUUGAUGGUUCAACUUUGGUUGCUUAAAAGUUGGUAUAAUUGACAAUUCAUGCGAAGAAACAUGAUUCACAUCAUGUAAUUUCAUCAUUAGUUUGAAGUUUGAACUUAAAACCUAAUGUUGAUUUAGGUACACAUGGAAAAACUACGACUAUAAUUGGAAAAUGGGACGAAAGCAUGCAUUUUCUUAAUAAAGACUGUUUUGAAAAAGGAAAACGUGACCCGUUUCAGAUUUCAUUUGUUGUGGAGAAACAGAACACCUCCAAAGUUCCCCACAAGAUAUAUUCUAACUCACUUUGUGUAAGACCCUAACACAUUUUAACCACAAAGGCGCAACGGAAAUACGAAGUAUAAAAUUCUUUUGCUUUUAUUCACUUUAAACAUGUUGAAUAGACUUUUUAAAAAGGUUUCUUACAAUAAUUACAACAUCCGUUUUUAUCGGAUAUUAAGGACAUGACAAAAAUUGUCAAGUUACAUGACUACACACUCCCGUAUAAUCCAUUAUGUGACUCGAUCUUCAUCGCCUUAGAACCCCUAAACCUCGAAACUCUGCCCCGUUGUAAGUGUUUUAAACCUGAUCACUGAUUCAAUACCCUAUUCGAUCGAUUUUAAACCCAGCAACGGAUGUCAAAGUGCUGCCUAUUUAAGGCUAUACUUUGUUAACUACGUUGGGGUUUUGAUCUCAUGAUGUAUCGUUAAAGUAUGAUUUGGGUUGAUGCACUGAUACGUGUUGCAUUGAGUUUUUAUUAGGAACUCAGGCUUAAUACCAGGAGGCUGGAGGCUGUAAUAAUCAAAACCCUAAAUCUACAAAGUGAGUCAUUCUCUUUUAUUAAAAAUGCUUUCAAAACCUUAAAUGUUUUCCAAUUGAUACUUAUAUUACAGUGAUUAAGUAUUUGUAUUCUUACUGGGAAACUACCAUCAGUAUGUGGGGUUUUGUAUACACUACUUGAUAAUCUUCACUAUUGGACAAUGGGUUAGCCAAUGAGUGAUAUGACCACAGUCACUGGAACUACCACCGAGUGACAAAUACUAUUUUAAAAUAGUUUCUUUACUAUUGGACAAUGAGUUAGCUAAUAGUAGUUUGGUAAGAUAAACAAAUGUAAAAACUCUAAAUGUUGUAACUAUAAGAAUAUGCUUUAUACAAAUGACUGAACUCACAAGUAUUUCCUGUUGAUCAAAUAUUUUUAAACGCGUUUCGGGUGACUUACUAU
Molecule: long non-coding RNA, 1994 nt
Filed under: Helianthus annuus (common sunflower)
Lineage: Eukaryota; Viridiplantae; Streptophyta; Magnoliopsida; Asterales; Asteraceae
Description: hypothetical non coding rna
Source: RNAcentral